CCCUUAGAUGUUCUGGGCUGCACGCGCGCUACACUGAUGCACUCAACGAGUUUACGACCUUGCCCGAUAGGGUUGGGUAAUCUUUUUAAAAUGCAUCGUGAUGGGGAUAGAUUAUUGCAAUUAUUAAUCUUCAACGAGGAAUUCCUAGUAAGCGCGAGUCAUCAGCUCGUGCUGAUUACGUCCCUGCCCUUUGUACACACCGCCCGUCGCACCUACCGAUUGAAUGUUUCGGUGAAGAUUCCGGAUAGGACUUUUUUGAUUUAUUUCAAUUUUGUCUUAAAAGCUAUCUAAACCUCAACAUUUAGAGGAAGGUGAAGUCGUAACA
This 325-nucleotide ribosomal RNA is filed under the name uncultured eukaryote. RNAcentral describes it as "partial 18S ribosomal RNA". It matches the Rfam family "Eukaryotic small subunit ribosomal RNA", at positions 1470 to 1796 of the family's 1831-position model. The record is from RNAcentral.